Gymnodraco acuticeps is the source of this 3858-nucleotide long non-coding RNA. RefSeq lists it as uncharacterized. The record is from RefSeq and is a predicted model, not a curated record. NCBI's taxonomy places the organism in Eukaryota, Metazoa, Chordata, Actinopteri, Perciformes, Bathydraconidae. The transcript has 2 exons.
AUAAUAUGCUGUGUAUGCAGGUGGUGAACCAGAAGCUGGAGCACUGCUCUCAGCUGACCGACCUGAUGAGGAGUCACCUGAGUGAGAAACACAGUCUGAGGCUGGAGUGGAUGAUCAUCAUCCUCAUCACCAUCGAGGUAUUGUUUGAAGUUUCAAAAAUGAUCUUCUGAGCUGCUCCGGAUCUGAGGAGAGUCACCUGAGGAGAGUCACCUGAAUCACCUGAGGAGAGUCACCUGAAUCACCUGAGGAGAAUCACCUGAGGAGAUUCACCUGAGGAGAGUCACCUUAAUCACCUGAGGAGAAUCACCUGAGGAGAGUCACCUGAGGAGAGUCACCUGAGGAGAGUCACCUGAGGAGAGUCACCUGAGGAGAGUCACCUGAGGAGAGUCACCUGAGGAGAGUCACCUGAGGAGAAUCACCUGAGGAGAGUCACCUGAGGAGAGUCACCUGAAUCACCUGAGGAGAAUCACCUGAAUCACCUGAGGAGAGUCACCUGAGGAGAGUCACCUGAGGAGAGUCACCUGAGGAGAGUCACCUGAGGAGAGUCACCUGAGGAGAGUCACCUGAGGAGAGUCACCUGAAUCACCUGAGGAGAGUCACCUGAGGAGAGUCACCUGAAUCACCUGAGGAGAAUCACCUGAAUCACCUGAGGAGAGUCACCUGAAUCACCUGAGGAGAGUCACCUGAAUCACCUGAGGAGAGUCACCUGAAUCACCUGAGGAGAGUCACCUGAGGAGAGUCACCUUAAUCACCUGAGGAGAGUCACCUGAGGAGAGUCACCUUAAUCACCUGAGGAGAAUCACCUGAGGAGAAUCACCUGAGGAGAAUCACCUGAGGAGAAUCACCUGAGGAGAGUCACCUGAGGAGAGUCACCUGAAUCACCUGAGGAGAGUCACCUGAGGAGAGUCACCUUAAUCACCUGAGGAGAAUCACCCGAGGAGAGUCACCUGAAUCACCUGAGGAGAGUCACCUGAGGAGAGUCACCUGAGGAGAGUCACCUGAGGAGAAUCACCUGAGGAGAGUCACCUGAAUCACCUGAGGAGAGUCACCUGAGGAGAAUCACCUGAGGAGAGUCACCUGAAUCACCUGAGGAGAGUCACCUGAGGAGAGUCACCUGAAUCACCUGAGGAGAGUCACCUGAGGAGAGUCACCUUAAUCACCUGAGGAGAAUCACCUGAGGAGAGUCACCUGAAUCACCUGAGGAGAGUCACCUGAGGAGAGUCACCUGAGGAGAAUCACCUGAGGAGAGUCACCUGAAUCACCUGAGGAGAGUCACCUGAGGAGAAUCACCUGAGGAGAGUCACCUGAAUCACCUGAGGAGAGUCACCUGAGGAGAGUCACCUGAGUCACCUGAGGAGAGUCAUCUGAGGAGAGUCACCUGAGGAGAAUCACCUGAGGAGAAUCACCUGAGGAGAGUCACCUGAGGAGAGUCACCUGAGGAGAGUCACCUGAGGAGAGUCACCUGAGGAGAGUCACCUUAAUCACCUGAGGAGAAUCACCUGAGGAGAGUCACCUGAAUCACCUGAGGAGAGUCACCUGAGGAGAGUCACCUGAGGAGAGUCACCUGAGGAGAGUCACCUGAGGAGAGUCACCUGAGGAGAAUCACCUGAGGAGAGUCACCUGAAUCACCUGAGGAGAGUCACCUGAGGAGAGUCACCUGAGGAGAGUCACCUGAGGAGAGUCACCUGAAUCACCUGAGGAGAGUCACCUGAGGAGAGUCACCUGAAUCACCUGAGGAGAGUCACCUGAGGAGGUAUUUCUUCUCAGUGACCCUAAAGAUGAUUUCUGGAUUAAUUUUUCCUGGAAGGAAUGAAAUCGAGAAGUGGACGUGAACAUUUUUAAUGUCUUACUGUUCCUGCUGCUUAGUAUAAACACUUCAACACACACACACACACACACACACACACACACACACACACACACACACACACACACACACACACACACACACACCUUUCCUCUUGAAGAGCAUUGCUGGAGACAAGGUGCUUCAUGGAAACUCACGAAUCUCUUCACCUGAGGAGAGUCACCUUAAUCACCUGAGGAGAGUCACCUGAGGAGAGUCACCUUAAUCACCUGAGGAGAAUCACCUGAGGAGAAUCACCUGAGGAGAAUCACCUGAGGAGAGUCACCUGAGGAGAGUCACCUGAGGAGAGUCACCUGAAUCACCUGAGGAGAGUCACCUGAGGAGAGUCACCUUAAUCACCUGAGGAGAAUCACCUGAGGAGAGUCACCUGAAUCACCUGAGGAGAGUCACCUGAGGAGAAUCACCUGAGGAGAGUCACCUGAGGAGAAUCACCUGAGGAGAGUCACCUGAAUCACCUGAGGAGAGUCACCUGAGGAGAGUCACCUGAGGAGUCACCUGAGGAGAAUCACCUGAGGAGAGUCACCUGAAUCACCUGAGGAGAGUCACCUGAGGAGAAUCACCUGAGGAGAAUCACCUUAAUCACCUGAGGAGAGUCACCUGAGGAGUGUCACCUGAGGAGUGUCACCUGAGGAGAAUCACCUGAGGAGAAUCACCUGAGGAGAGUCACCUUAGGAGAAUCACCUUAAUCACCUGAGGAGAAUCACCUGAGGAGAGUCACCUGAAUCACCUGAGGAGAGUCACCUGAAUCACCUGAGGAGAGUCACCUGAGGAGAGUCACCUGAGGAGAGUCACCUGAGGAGAGUCACCUGAGGAGAGUCACCUGAGGAGAGUCACCUGAAUCACGUCACCUGAGGAGAGUCACCUGAGGAGUCACCUGAGGAGAGUCACCUGAGGAGAAUCACCUGAGGAGAGUCACCUGAAUCACCUGAGGAGAGUCACCUGAGGAGAGUCACCUGAGGAGAGUCACCUGAAUCACCUGAAUCACCUGAGGAGAGUCACCUGAGGAGAGUCACCUGAGGAGAGUCACCUGAAUCACCUGAGGAGAAUCACCUUAAUCACCUGAGGAGAGUCACCUGAGGAGAGUCACCUGAGGAGAGUCACCUGAGGAGAGUCACCUGAGGAGUGUCACCUGAGGAGAGUCACCUGAGGAGAGUCACCUGAGGAGAGUCACCUGAGGAGUGUCACCUGAGGAGAGUCACCUGAGGAGAGUCACCUGAGGAGAGUCACCUGAGGAGAGUCACCUGAGGAGAGUCACCUGAGGAGAGUCACCUGAAUCACCUGAGGAGAAUCACCUUAAUCACCUGAGGAGAGUCACCUGAGGAGAGUCACCUGAGGAGAGUCACCUGAGGAGAGUCACCUGAGGAGUGUCACCUGAGGAGUGUCACCUGAGGAGAGUCACCUGAGGAGAGUCACCUGAGGAGAAUCACCUGAGGAGAAUCACCUGAGGAGAGUCACCUGAGGAGAAUCACCUUAAUCACCUGAGGAGAAUCACCUGAGGAGAGUCACCUGAGGAGAGUCACCUGAAUCACCUGAGGAGAGUCACCUGAAUCACCUGAGGAGAGUCACCUGAGGAGAGUCACCUGAAUUACCUGAGGAGAGUCACCUGAGGAGGUAUUUCUUCUCAGUGACCCUAAAGAUGAUUUCUGGAUUAAUUUUUCCUGGAAGGAAUGAAAUCGAGAAGUGGACGUGAACAUUUUUAAUGUCUUACUGUUCCUGCUGCUUAGUAUAAACACUUCAACACACACACACACACACACACACACACACACACACACACACACACACCUUUCCUCUUGAAGAGCAUUGCUGGAGACAAGGUGCUUCAUGGAAACUCACGAAUCUCUUCUGGCGUCGUUUUGCAGUUUCUGUCGACGCGUCAGUUACUCCUGGGAUUGGUAGAAACAAGUAGAUCGAAUAUGCAAUGAUUUAUAUUUUAAUUUAUUUUUGCUCAAGUGCUGUGUGUUGUAAAGGAUGCAAUAAAGUGUUUUAAA